Molecule: ribosomal RNA, 1266 nt
Filed under: metagenome
Description: bacterial SSU rRNA
Rfam family: Bacterial small subunit ribosomal RNA
Source: RNAcentral
GGGGAUAACGGCUGGAAACGGCCGCUAAUACCCCAUAUGCCGGGAGGUGAAAUGAAUUUCGCCUGAGGAUGAGCCCGCGUCUGAUUAGCUAGUUGGUGGGGUAAAGGCCUACCAAGGCAACGAUCAGUAGCUGGUCUGAGAGGAUGAUCAGCCACACUGGGACUGAGACACGGCCCAGACUCCUACGGGAGGCAGCAGUGGGGAAUUUUCCGCAAUGGGCGAAAGCCUGACGGAGCAACGCCGCGUGAGGGAUGAAGGCCCCUGGGCUGUAAACCUCUUUUCUCAAGGAAGAAGACCUGACGGUACUUGAGGAAUAAGCCACGGCUAAUUCCGUGCCAGCAGCCGCGGUAAUACGGGAGUGGCAAGCGUUAUCCGGAAUUAUUGGGCGUAAAGCGUCCGCAGGCGGCCUUGUAAGUCUGUUGUUAAAGCGUGGAGCUCAACUCCAUUUAAGCAAUGGAAACUACAAGGCUGGAGUGUGGUAGGGGCAGAGGGAAUUCCCGGUGUAGCGGUGAAAUGCGUAGAUAUCGGGAAGAACACCAGUGGCGAAGGCGCUCUGCUGGGCCAUAACUGACGCUCAUGGACGAAAGCCAGGGGAGCGAAAGGGAUUAGAUACCCCUGUAGUCCUGGCCGUAAACGAUGAACACUAGGUGUCGGGGGAAUCGACCCCCUCGGUGUCGUAGCCAACGCGUUAAGUGUUCCGCCUGGGGAGUACGCACGCAGGUGUGAAACUCAAAGGAAUUGACGGGGGCCCGCACAAGCGGUGGAGUAUGUGGUUUAAUUCGAUGCAACGCGAAGAACCUUACCAGGGUUUGACAUCCUGCGAACCCCUGAGAAAUCGGGGGGUGCCUUCGGGAGCGCAGAGACAGGUGGUGCAUGGCUGUCGUCAGCUCGUGUCGUGAGAUGUUGGGUUAAGUCCCGCAACGAGCGCAACCCACGUCUUUAGUUGCCAGCAUUCAGUUGGGCACUCUAGAGAGACCGCCGGUGAUAAACCGGAGGAAGGUGUGGAUGACGUCAAGUCAUCAUGCCCCUUACAUCCUGGGCUACACGUACUACAAUGCUACGGACAAAGGGCAGCAAGCUCGCGAGAGUUAGCAAAUCCCAUAAACCGUGGCUCAGUUCAGAUCGUAGGCUGCAACUCGCCUACGUGAAGGAGGAAUCGCUAGUAAUCGCAGGUCAGCAUACUGCGGUGAAUACGUUCCCGGGCCUUGUACACACCGCCCGUCACACCAUGGAAGUUGGCCAUGCCCGAAGUCGUUACUCCAACCC